Molecule: long non-coding RNA, 6951 nt
Filed under: Olea europaea (common olive)
Lineage: Eukaryota; Viridiplantae; Streptophyta; Magnoliopsida; Lamiales; Oleaceae
Description: long non-coding RNA (OEUR_LNC014182)
Source: RNAcentral
AAUUACUAAAAAUUGCUAAAAAGUAAAAUAACACGUUAAUUAGCAGCUUAAAAUGAUCUUAUUAUUUAGUGCACAAGUUAAUAAAUUUUCAAGAAUUCAUAAUAAUCUUUUGGUCCCUCUUUGUAACGUUAAGAGAAAUGGCCAUGCUAUCAAGAGUAAACAAUGUCAACAAAACUCCUUUCCAUACUAUAAAUACAUCAAUAAAUUCAUUAAGAAGUCUUGUUUUUUUCCUGCAAAUAAUCUCUUUCAUAAGCCUGUCGGCGCAGGUCCAGGAGCACUGUAAGCGGGACCAUGCUUAGGUGGAUGAGCGUGAUGGUGGUGGUGUUUGCCCUUAUGGUGGUGGUGGUGGUGAUUGUGAUGGUGAUGAUGGCCAUGUUUGUGGUGGCUGGGAGCGUGCGCCUUUUGGAUGUGAGGAAAGAGAGCCUCUACAUCCUCUUGGUCAAAAACUACAUUUUCUCUUAAUUUUGAGAAUUCCUCUUGACUACUAGCGAGAAUGGGAACGCACAGAAGAAUGAGCCCUAGAAGCAAAACAAGAGAGUAUACAGUACUCAUUACUGGUAUUUGGUGAUGGCAAAGAGUGACAAGGGAAGAACCUUUUUAUAGUGGAUUCGUAACCUACAAAAUUAAUUUUUGGUCAACAAUCUACUCUAUGCAUUAAUGACUUUUUAAUGCUCCAAAAAUAUUGUUGGGUUGAUGAAAUUCCUAUAGUAAUUAAAGACCUAAUUCGACAAUAAAUUUUGGAGAAAUAAUAAGAAGGGGAAAUAUUCCUAAUAAAAUUGAGAUUGCAAUUAGGACAAAUUAAACAUCAAUAAAUUCAUUAAGAAGUCUUGUUUUUUCCUGCAAAUAAUCUCUUUCAUAAGCUUGUCGGCGCAGGUCCAGGAGCACUGUAAGCGGGACCAUGCUUAGGUGGAUGAGCGUGAUGGUGGUGGUGUUUGCCCUUAUGGUGCUAAAAUUUUGAAGAAUGUAAAAGGUAUGUAAAUUAAGGGUAUUUCAAUUUUACAAAAUAUGAUAUAUAAAAUGUAAAUACGCCCUAAAUGUGCAUGGUGUAACUUUCCAAUUCCGAAACAAGAUCGCCUUGUAAUAAGAUAACAUCAACGAGACAAAGUGAGAGGCUAAUAAAACUCGUAGCUAUACUAUGAUGAAUGACCAAAGUUGACAAAGAGCUCUCCACAAGAAAAUAAGAAUAUCAUGAAACAGUCAUCAAGAAACUGAAAAAUCUUAGUGUUGUCUACAAAUAAUCUGUUUUCCAUAGUCUUUCGGUGCAUGAGUUUGGUGAUGAGGAAGGCGCACAUGCCGCGAAGGAGAUAGGUAUCCACCAGGGUGGUAGCCACGGUAUUGUGAUGGUGAUGAUGGCCAUGUUUGUGGUGGCUGGGAGCGUGCGCCUUUUGGAUGUGAGGAAAGAGAGCCUCUACAUCCUCUUGGUCAAAAACUACAUUUUCUCUUAAUUUUGAGAAUUCCUCUUGACUACUAGCGAGAAUGGGAACGCACAGAAGAAUGAGCCCUAGAAGCAAAACAAGAGAGUAUACAGUACUCAUUACUGGUAUUUGGUGAUGGCAAAGAGUGACAAGGGAAGAACCUUUUUAUAGUGGAUUCGUAACCUACAAAAUUAAUUUUUGGUCAACAAUCUACUCUAUGCAUUAAUGACUUUUUAAUGCUCCAAAAAUAUUGUUGGGUUGAUGAAAUUCCUAUAGUAAUUAAAGACCUAAUUCGACAAUAAAUUUUGGAGAAAUAAUAAGAAGGGGAAAUAUUCCUAAUAAAAUUGAGAUUGCAAUUAGGACAAAUUACUUCUUCGCAAUUGAAUCAAUUAGCAAGGAGAUUUCUGUAUCAGUUUAGUAUUCUAAAAAUUGUAAAAUGUGGUCGGUGGUAAGGUCAAGUUUUGAAUUUUACAAUCUAAGACUCAUAGAUGUUAAAAAAGUAUAUAUAUUUUCUUUUAUUUAAUAUGAUUUAAUUAUUCUAAAUAUUUGUGAAUACCAAUAUCUUAAAUCUUAGUAAUAUAAUUAAUUAAUAAUCCCACAACUACACAAUUUUCAAGUUUUUAAAAACUAAAUAAUUUUCAAUUAGACAACUCUUACAUGAUAGAUAACGGGGGUAUCAUCCAUUGAUAUUUCAAUGAAUUUUAAAAGUACUUUCAAAUUUAAGUGUCCCCCAAAAUGAAAUCCAUUAACAUUUAGGUGUCUUUCAAUGAAAUCGUCUUCAAUAACUCAUAGAGUCAAAAGGAUAUCAUUAAUAGAUAUAUUUUAUAAGAUUUGAAUGGAUUUUAAGUGUAUAUAUAUAACAAACUCUUUUGAAAUUUCACUAUUUUUAAUGAUAUCUUAUGGAUUAUAUAUAGAGCUCUAUUCAAAUCCACAAAAUUCAUUAAGAUUUAUAAUAUUUUAAAAUUUAUGAAAAUCCCAAUUGAGAACAUCCUGAAAUCCAACAAAAUGUCUCAAAAUCAUAAAUACAAAAUUUUUAACAAUUUCGGCAAUAGACAAUUAAGACAACAUUCUUUAUCGGACUCAAAUCCAAUAUCCUCUUCUUCGUCUAACUCAUCUUCUCAUUAUUCGAUACACACACACCAAAAAAAUAAAUAAAUAAAUAUUAUCGUGGUCCAUUAUUUUAAGUUAACCAUUUCCAGUACAUCUUCUACGUUUUAAUAUUUUCCUUUUUCUUUUGAUUAGUCGGGAUUUAAUAGUCCUUGAUGCUUAAGUGCCUGUUUGAUUUGGAUUGAAAUCUUAUUUUAAUUUAAGUCAAAGUCAAACAAUUAGUAUUAACCACAUCUUUCGUGAGUCCCACAAUUUUUUAACUACACAUUUCAAAAAUUUCUAUCACAAUCUAUUAAAAAAUCUAAUUUUAAUUUCUACAAACACCAUCUAAGGCAUAAGCCUUAAAUUUUAUUAAUAAUAAUAACAACAACACAUUAGACUUUCAACAAAGGAGUUGAACGCAUUUUCAUGCACCUAGGCCCUAGGCAGAACACUUCGAAAAUGUUUUUCGUCCAGACACACAUCAAGGUCAUGGCAAUUAAUGCUAUUCAUUAGCAAAUGAUCAAUAAUCUAUGUGACAGUGAAAUUACUGCACAUUUUUCUAUAAAAUUAAAUAUAUUUUAAUUAAUUGAAGAAUGUGAAAAUAACAUUAGAUGUCGAUCAUAGGCAUUGCUAAGGAGUAUUGGUGACCUUUAAAAACGUGCCAACAAAUGUCGAUCCUAGAUGACGUCCACCUAGAGAGAUUCUUGUGGAUCUUAAACGGACAUCUAAUCGGAUUCGAAAAUUAGCCAUGCAUAAACGCAUAGAGGGGUGAGAUAUUCAUGAUCGAAGGCAAUUUAUGAAAUAAAAAGAUGAUUCUAAUAAGCGUUUAUAGAGAGGAAAAAAUAAUGUAUGUUUGCAUGUCUAUUCGUUCAUCCCUUACAAUGUUACAAAAGCUGCUAUUUAUAGCAUCCAAGUUGACAUGGUCACUAUUGGAUCAGAUCCACGUGGCGUCAUCUACUCGAUCGGAGUGUCGCAUCAUCCUAUCUCACAUUAAUUACAUUGACAAAUACAUUUGACAAGGAAUCGACCGUCCUACACUUCGAGGCUGACAAUAUGACAUUUAUUAAUGCGAACGUCGUCACACGAGUUAUUCCUAAAGAUAUACUCAUUAGACCUACUCUACAGAGCUUCGAGCGUGAAAGAGUUCGGCUUAAGGAAUGAAAGCACUUCAGCCGUGGAGUUUGGACGGAAACAGUGCCUCCACCAGAAGACAAUUCUUGUUUUCUUCUUUAUUCUAGAUUGACUGCCACGUGCGUCACCUCUACGUGGCCUCCAUUGGAAGUUUCACCACAUACGACUAAUAAUAAGUAUUAUUCAGUUCACGGCACACAUGGUGCGUGGCAGAGAAAUUUAUUAUUAUUAUUAUUAUUAUUUAGUCAAAGAUGCUAGUGAGAGAGAGAAAAGUGAGAAAAAGCUAGAAGAAAGGUACCUGUGUUGUUCGCAGUACGUUAAACAUUUUAGUAUUGUGUAAGAAAUAAGAAUAUGUUGGGAGUAACGGCACACAUGGUGCGUGGCAGAGAAAUUUAUUACUAUUAUUAUUAUUUAGUCAAAGAUGCUAGUGAGAGAGAGAAAAGUGAGAAAAAGCUAGAAGAAAGGUACCUGUGUUGUUCGCAGUACGUUAAACAUUUUAGUAUUGUGUAAGAAAUAAGAAUAUGUUGGGAGUAAGAAAAAUACUAAAUAGAGAAAUACUGUAUCGUGAUGCUUUCUCAAUUAAUAAAAUCUUCUUCUUCAGUAGAUAUCAACAAUUUGCUAAACCACCUUUAAUUUGUGUUUCUCGUUCCUUUUCAUCAUUUUAGUUUCUUCUACAUUUCCUGCAAGUGUUGUGGAUCCUUUUCCCCAACAAAUAUGUGUGAUUCUAAUUCAUUAUGGAAAAUUUUACUUAAACAUAAUUAUUGUACAUAAUGAUAUCCGUAAUAUGAUAUGACAGUCAUCCGGUUGUUGAUAUGCAAGUGUAAGAUUUGAAUUAAAGGCUGGAUAUAGUGUCAUGUGUAAUUAUGGACACCAUUAUGUAGACAAUUAUAUAUACAUAGCACUUCCCAUUAUGGCCAUUCUCGAUCCAUAGCACUAAAUCGGUGCAACUUUCGUACCAGAUUAGUGCAACUCUCACACCAUCUCGCAAAGAUAUAUCCAAAUUAUUACACCAAAUGAACAAUAUUUUCUUUAUUUUUUACUCUUUUUAAUUCAUUUAUUAAAAAAUAUUUAAUUACAAAUUACAUAACUUCUAAAAUUAUUAAAUUUAAAUUAUAUUUAAAUAACUACAAUAUUUUAUUUAUUAAUAAAAUUAAAAAAAACUUACACUUAAUACUAUUAUAAAAAAAAUAUAUUAAAUUUAACAUACACGAAAAGUUACAUAGAGUAAAAAAAAUCCAAAGAUUUUACACUUAUUUAUUAUUUGAUUACAAUUUACUAUAAAUGAUAAUAAAAUAAUAAUCAAAUUAAAAUAAAUAUAAAUUAAGUCAUUAAAUAAUAAAAUGCUAUAAUAAAAGUUAAAUUUUUUAUGGUAUAAAAUGAAGGGCAAAAUAAAAUUAUAAAAGCUGUAAAAAUUACACCAAACGAACAGUUUCGUAACAAAUGGGAAUUUGGUGCAACAAUGUCCAUUGAACCAAUUUGGUGUGAUGAAUUGAUAUUGAAUUGGAGUGAGUUUUUCGCUCUUAUUUGGUGUUAGGAAUGAAGAUGUCCUAAGAAGUUUUUUAGUAAAUUAUAGUAAUUAAUCGUAGAAUGUCGCUAUUGUAAGUUUUAUACUCUAAGUCCAACCGACUUUCAACAUAAACACUUUUAAUAUAUAGUUGAUGUGAUUUAUGAUAUAUCUAUUAUUUAAUUAAUUAAUAUUCAAUUAAAUUAAAUAACGGAGUCUGUAGAUUCAAAUCUUAGUAAUUUGUUAAUUAUAAGGAGUUGUGAUUGUGAUAUGCAAAUUACAUAUGAUUGAAUCUUAAAUCAUCCGGGGUCGUAAGUAAUGACGAAAUACAAAUAUCGUUAUUACGGAUAGACCAUCACUUGUGGCACUUCUUGCUUUUGAAGUAAGUAACUGAUCUCACAAGUUAAAAUGUGAUAACACUUGAAUAAAUAUGUGGAUAUUUUGUUAUAGAACAAAACAUUGGAGACCCGCUGAGAGAUUUUACAUGGAUAACUAUCUGAGAGUCAGUGGUUAAUCUCUAACGUUGGGUAGUGAAAUUUAUCCUUUGAUUUGAGGUCGUCAUAGUGCCUUAUAUGAGGAUAAUCAUGCUUUGACGGUGUUGAAUGUUGCUUUGCCAAAGGUCACUAAUAUGGCAUCGUUCGGGUAUGUCAAGAAUAAUAUGAAGGUUGUGAAUAACGAAUAGAGAUUUCGUCACUCUUGGAUAGUAAGAGAUUUGAUCUGCAUUUCAUUCAAUUAAGUCGAUAACGAAAUCCUUAGUCAAGGUGUUCUCAUAAGUCGAAAACGAGUUUUUGAUUUAUAUUGACUUAAUAGUAUAAAUGGAAGAUAUGAUUGAUAACCAAGAUUGACACACUAUCAUAUCUCGUAAUUGAUUGGAUUAUAUUGACGAAAGGAUUAAAGUUUGACAAUAAACGAACAAGUUUGAUUUUGUCAUACCACGUGACAUUUUCCGUCAUAUGCAUUGCCCUGACACAUUGCUAGAUGUCAAUUUGGGACGGUGAAUAUGAAUUGAUGAUAAAUUAAAAAAAGUGUUGUAAUUUAUCAAUUCUGAUUAUAUCAAAAUAAUAUUUCAAGUUGUUAGGUAUCGUGAUCGAAAAUCUGAUGGGUCGCACAAAAAAUGAGAACUAGAAGAUUGUAAUUUGUCAAUUAAUUAAUUUAACAGACGUUGAAUAAAUUAAUUAAUUGGGUUGCUUGGUUAUGACAUUUUCCGUCAUAUGCAUUGCCCUGACACAUUGCUAGAUGUCAAUUUGGGACGGUGAAUAUGAAUUAAUGAUAAAUUAAAAAAAAGUGUUGUAAUUUAUCAAUUCUGAUUAUAUCAAAAUAAUAUUUCAAGUUGUUAGGUAUCGUGAUCGAAAACCUGAUGGGUCGCACGAAAAAUGAGAACUAGAAGAUUGUAAUUUGUCAAUUAAUUAAUUUAACAGACGUUGAAUAAAUUAAUUAAUUGGGUUGCUUGGUUAUAAGCCUAAAUUAAUUAAUUGGAUUAAUUAAUUCACUGAUCGAAUUUAAUUAAAUAGGCUAAUUAAAUAUUGGAUCGAGUUAGGUUAAGCCCGUUUGGACUUAUAUAAAUAUAACUAGGGUUUUCAAAAUCUAUAGAGAGAAUUCGUUAUUCUUGUUAGAUGAAAAUAAUAUUUCACGUCGUUAGGUCGUGAUCAGGAACCUGAUGUGUCGCACAAAAAAGGAGAACUGAAAUAUUGUGAUUUAUCAAUUAAUUAAUUUAACAAGCGUUUGAUAAAUUAAUUAAUUGGAUUGCUUAUUUAUAUGUCUGAAUUGUGGUUUGUGGUGGUGUUGAUUUGGAGAUGGAAGUGGUGGUGAUGG